UUAAGUUUCAGUCUUGCGACCGUACUCCCCAGGCGGCGAGCUUAACGGCUUCCCUGCGACACUCCAAUCGCGAUUUGCGAUUGGAUCAUCUAGCUCGCAUCGUUUACGGCUGGGACUACCCGGGUCUUUAGUGGGUCGAUAGGAACUUAUGCAGAGGUCGCAUCUUGACCGGGUGCGUGAAUUCAACAAAACUCUGGAACUUAAGAACGUCGUCUUUUCCGUAGAUGUAGAUUUCAUUCUCAAUACUCGUUCUCCGUCGAGCAUGAAGAGAAUCUUGAAUUCCUAUUUCGGUUAAGACUAAAUCAACCAUCUCGUGAACUUCCUGCGAGGUUAUUGAGAAGUCGAUUUCCGCUUGCCUUUUCUUUACAUGGCCCUUCGCGUC
This 382-nucleotide ribosomal RNA is filed under the name uncultured archaeon. Its description in RNAcentral is "partial 16S ribosomal RNA". The record is from RNAcentral.